Molecule: long non-coding RNA, 2374 nt
Organism: Alnus glutinosa
Lineage: Eukaryota; Viridiplantae; Streptophyta; Magnoliopsida; Fagales; Betulaceae
Exons: 2
Source: RefSeq, a predicted model, not a curated record
UCUUCUUCUUUCUUCCUUCCUCUUCUGUUCUUCUUCUCGCCAGACCCACCGAGAGAGAGAGUGACAUCGAGAGAUUGAGAUAGGAGAGAAACAGAGAAAGAGUGAGAGAGAGAGAGAGAGAGAGAGAGAGACUCGAGGGAGACAGAGAGAUGAGACCGAGAGAUAGGGAUAGGAAGAGUCAGAGAUCGGGAGAGAGGGAGCUGAACCCGGAACCCAGAGGACCCGAUCCUCUGUGGACGGUGGCCAGAACCGGAAUCCGACCGUCCAGUGGCGCGAUUUCCAGCGGGUCAGGCGUUGUUCCUGCCGGUCGUGGAGGACUUGAGUGGCCGGAGGUCCGAUUUCAGUGGCUGUCGUUCGUGAGACCCGAGAGACCCGUAACUCCAAACCCGGUCUUCCCUUGGAACCUGUGAAGCCCGACCUUCAGUGGCGAAGUCCGGCGCGAUUUACGGCGAUUGGAUGCAGUUCUCCGGUGGUUUUCGUCCGCAGUGGACUGCCCAGCAAUCCGUGCAACUCGUGACCUGUUUGUGUGUAACCCGAUCGACCCGCCAGACUCGAGAGGAAGACCCGGUUCUUCAAAGCUAUUUCCGGCGACUUUUCCGGCGGAAUCAGUAGCGAGUUCCGGUGGUUUUACUAUGAAAAUCAUUGGGGUCAUUUCUUAUAACCUAUGAUGAUUUUAUUAUGGGGAUUAAUUUGCUUAUUAUGGAAUUAGGGUUUGAUUAUUUUGGGGCUUUUCAAUCGAUUGUGUUUAAAUAGGUUGAUUGAGUGUUUGUGGGUAUUCUGUUUUCUGUUCUUGGUUGAUUCAGUGGGUGUACGUGUGUGCUUUGGCAGAUUUGGGUUUCUUGUGUCUUAACCGAUUAUUUAGUGUUUGGAUUUUUGAUGCUUUUGGCCAAAUGGUUUUGAGGUUAAAAUUGUCUCUGUUGUGACUGUGAUGGACUGAUUUGAGGUGUUUGGCCAUGUAUUAAUUUUGGGUAGACUCUCCUAAUUUGGCAGUGUAUGUAGGUUAGACUUGUGAUAUUUCAUGUUGAAUUUUAGUUGUGGUGAUAAUUUUUCUAAAUGAUCUUGCUGAGGAUUUUUAUGAAAGACUUUUGGUUAGUGGCUGAUGUUGGUUGAAAUCUCUUUUAUGGAAAAUUUUGUUAGGGUUAAUAUUAUUUGUGAUUCUUUGAUGAUUUUCUUGAGUUAUGUUGAUGGAAAUUAGUCAUGGAUGAAGGGCUGACUUGAGAUUUGAUUUGGGGAUGUUGUGAAGGAUAUUAUGUAGAAAACAUAAUAGAUAUUGAAGAUUUUGGAUAAUUAAAUUGGAAAUUGUAGAUUUUAUUUGAAUGAAUUGUAAAUAAAUUUUGAGUGAAAAGAGCGAUCAAAUCGGUAUUACAAUUUCUUUGAGUAUAUUGGUUGAAUGGUUAAAUGGUAGGUUUUGGCGAAAUUGAAUUUUUAUCAAGGAAAGUUUUAGUCGAAUAGAAAUACUGUAUACUUAUAUGCUGUAAAUUUUGGAAAGAAAUUUUGUAUAUAGUAUAUAUAUAUAUAUAUAUAGGAUAAUUUAAUUUAAGUCUUAGAACUGAAAUUUCAAAACGCUCCGCUAAAUUUAUCCUCGUGUUUUAUUUAGGUAAAAGCUCAACACUGACACUAAUGAAAAAUCCAGGUAAGGGAACACUACCUAAAAAUCCCGGCGAAAUUUUAAUAAAACUUUUCAAAAGAAAAGUCGGGAAUUUUCCUAAAACUGCCUCAUUUCUCUAUAUUGAUUGUCACUUUAAAUUCUGUCAUGAUAUUACUCUUAUUAUCAAAUGUGAUUGGGAAAUCAUGUGAUUAUAUGAUUAUAGCUUUCAAAGUAUGAAUUGUGAAUUAAGAUAAUGAAACUACGGUUCUCAAAAUGUAUGUGCUAUAUGAUGAUUUCAUGAGAUUCUGUAUAGUUGUAUUUGUGCAUCAUAUCGUAUAUGUUGCAUAUGCUCCAUGUGAGCGGAUAAUGAUGAUAUUAUCGUAAUUAUAUGUGCAUAUAUUACACACAGUUUUGCCCCACGGCUGCAUCGGGUGUUGAUCCGGAUUCAAGUAGGGGAGCAUGGCAACCACACCAAAAGUGUGGGCUAUCGGUCGGGGGAUCUUCACCUAAGGAAGUUCCUAGCCCGACGGCUCUUCUCUGUGACGACAGGAUGAGCGUUUUGGUCCUUCGGGAUCGGUCCCCAUGGAUAUGCCAAACAUAAUGUGCGCUGCUCACGGUUAAAUAGCAGAGAUGACGCAGAAAGACGAAGUUAAUUCUUGUAAAGGGGUACACCUCGCUAAGAGAAAUGGUUCGUUGUGGACCGACCAUUGUAUAGUAUAUCCCUUUUUGGAGUUUAUGGCUUUGUAACUAAUUAAUUAUAGGCAAUAAUAAAAAAAUAAAAAUAAA